UGAACCUAUAGACUCUGGCUCCAAGAUGGCUC
Molecule: non-coding RNA, 32 nt
Filed under: Rattus norvegicus (Norway rat)
Lineage: Eukaryota; Metazoa; Chordata; Mammalia; Rodentia; Muridae
Source: RNAcentral